CAAUAGCGUAUAUUAACGUUGUUGCAGUUAAAAAGCUCGUAGUUGGAUUUCUGGAGGGAGCGUCGGCCCGUAUUUACGAGUGCGUGACGUCUCUGUCCAUCCUUGCGGGAAGGCACGGCAUUGGUUUGUUGUGUCGGAUCGCAUCAUUUACUGUGAAAAAAUUAGAGUGUUCAAAGCAGGCUUUCGCUUGAAUACAUUAGCAUGGAAUAAUAAGAUAGGACUUUGGUGCUAUUUUGUUGGUUGAGCCUAAAGUAAUGAUUAAUAGGGAUAGUUGGGGGCACCUGUAUUGCGUUGUCAGAGGUGAAAUUCUUGGAUUUACGCAAGACAAACAGCUGCGAAAGCAUUUGCCAAGGAUGUUUUCAUUGA
This 366-nucleotide ribosomal RNA is filed under the name uncultured eukaryote. RNAcentral describes it as "partial 18S ribosomal RNA". It matches the Rfam family "Eukaryotic small subunit ribosomal RNA", at positions 592 to 976 of the family's 1831-position model. The record is from RNAcentral.